Molecule: ribosomal RNA, 435 nt
Filed under: uncultured bacterium
Lineage: Bacteria
Description: partial 16S ribosomal RNA
Rfam family: Bacterial small subunit ribosomal RNA
Source: RNAcentral
UGGGGAAUAUUGGACAAUGGGGGCAACCCUGAUCCAGCAAUGCCGCGUGUGUGAAGAAGGUCUUCGGAUUGUAAAGCACUUUCGACGGGGACGAUGAUGACGGUACCCGUAGAAGAAGCCCCGGCUAACUUCGUGCCAGCAGCCGCGGUAAUACGAAGGGGGCUAGCGUUGCUCGGAAUGACUGGGCGUAAAGGGCGUGUAGGCGGUUUACACAGUCAGAUGUGAAAUCCCCGGGCUUAACCUGGGAGCUGCAUUUGAUACGUGUAGACUAGAGUGUGAGAGAGGGUUGUGGAAUUCCCAGUGUAGAGGUGAAAUUCGUAGAUAUUGGGAAGAACACCGGUGGCGAAGGCGGCAACCUGGCUCAUGACUGACGCUGAGGCGCGAAAGCGUGGGGAGCAAACAGGAUUAGAUACCCUGGUAGUCCACGCCUGUAAA